RNAcentral lists this ribosomal RNA (497 nucleotides) under uncultured bacterium. Its description in RNAcentral is "partial 16S ribosomal RNA". It matches the Rfam family "Bacterial small subunit ribosomal RNA", at positions 28 to 507 of the family's 1533-position model. The record is from RNAcentral.
GACGAACGCUGGCGGCGUGCCUAAUACAUGCAAGUUGAGCGAUUAAGAUUGGUGCUUGCACCCAUUUGAAGAGCAGCGAACGGGUGAGUAACGCGUGGGGAAUCUGCCUUUGAGCGGGGGACAACAUUUGGAAACGAAUGCUAAUACCGCAUAACAACUUUAAACAUAAGUUUUAAGUUUGAAAGAUGCAAUUGCAUCACUCAAAGAUGAUCCCGCGUUGUAUUAGCUAGUUGGUGAGGUAAAGGCUCACCAAGGCGAUGAUACAUAGCCGACCUGAGAGGGUGAUCGGCCACAUUGGGACUGAGACACGGCCCAAACUCCUACGGGAGGCAGCAGUAGGGAAUCUUCGGAAAUGGACGAAAGUCUGACCGAGCAACGCCGCGUGAGUGAAGAAGGUUUUCGGAUCGUAAAACUCUGUUGGUAGAGAAGAACGUUGGUGAGAGUGGAAAGCUCAUCAAGUGACGGUAACUACCCAGAAAGGGACGGCUAACUACGUG